CCUCAGGUCAGGCGGGAUCACCCGCUGAAUUAAGCAU
RNAcentral lists this ribosomal RNA (37 nucleotides) under Actinocephalus falcifolius. RNAcentral describes it as "partial 26S ribosomal RNA". Lineage: Eukaryota; Viridiplantae; Streptophyta; Magnoliopsida; Poales; Eriocaulaceae. The record is from RNAcentral.